CCUACGGGUGGCAGCAGUGAGGAAUAUUGGUCAAUGGUCGGAAGUCUGAACCAGCCAUGCCGCGUGCAGGAAGACGGCUCUAUGAGUUGUAAACUGCUUUUGUACGAGAAUAAACCUGAAUACGUGUCUCCAGCUGAAAGUACUGUACGAAUAAGGAUCGGCUAACUCCGUGCCAGCAGCCGCGGUAAUACGGAGGAUACGAGCGUUAUCCGGAUUUAUUGGGUUUAAAGGGUGCGUAGGCGGAUUGUUAAGUUAGCGGUGAAAUGUCCGGGCUUAACCCGGGAACUGCCUGUAAUACUGGUAGUCUAGAGUGUAGGUGCGGUAGGCGGAAUGUGCGGUGUAGCGGUGAAAUGCAUAGAGAUCAUGCAGAACACCGAUUGCGAAGGCAGCUUACCAAUCUAACACUGACGCUGAGGCACGAAAGCGUGGGGAGCAAACAGGAUUAGAUACCCCGGUAGUC
RNAcentral lists this ribosomal RNA (460 nucleotides) under uncultured bacterium. RNAcentral's name for it is "partial 16S ribosomal RNA". It matches the Rfam family "Bacterial small subunit ribosomal RNA", at positions 338 to 795 of the family's 1533-position model. The record is from RNAcentral.